ACCUUUAUGUAGACUCAUCAAAUCCUGAGGCAGGAGAAGAUCCUAAGAGUUCGGCUAUUCGCCGAUUAAAGUACGUGAGUUGGAUUUAAAACGUCGCGAAACAGUUC
Molecule: non-coding RNA, 107 nt
Organism: Brugia pahangi
Lineage: Eukaryota; Metazoa; Nematoda; Chromadorea; Rhabditida; Onchocercidae
Source: Rfam